AGUUUUGUGCAGUGGCAGUGUCGUAGCCAAUGAGGUUUAUCUGUGGCGCGAUUAUUAAUUGAAAACUUUUCAUUUGUUUUCCUAAAAAAAUGAAUCCUAGAAAGACAUAGUAUUACUUCCUCAACCUGUUUUUGUUGUUUAAUUAAAAAAUCUGCAAACCACUGUGG
Molecule: small nuclear RNA, 167 nt
Filed under: Zalophus californianus (California sea lion)
Lineage: Eukaryota; Metazoa; Chordata; Mammalia; Carnivora; Otariidae
Description: U4 spliceosomal RNA (ENSZCAG00015014491.1)
Rfam family: U4 spliceosomal RNA (bases 1-135)
About the family: U4 small nuclear RNA (U4 snRNA) is a component of the major U2-dependent spliceosome. The structure of U4 snRNA from yeast and human has been reported. U4 snRNA presents a k-turn RNA motif in the 5p-SL related to recognition of Snu13 protein.
Source: RNAcentral